UGGGGAAUCUUGGACAAUGGGGGCAACCCUGAUCCAGCCAUGCCGCGUGAGUGACGAAGGCCCUAGGGUCGUAAAGCUCUUUCGCCUGUGAAGAUAAUGACGGUAGCAGGUAAAGAAACCCCGGCUAACUCCGUGCCAGCAGCCGCGGUAAUACGGAGGGGGUUAGCGUUGUUCGGAAUUACUGGGCGUAAAGCGCGCGUAGGCGGACUAUUAAGUCAGGGGUGAAAUCCCGGGGCUCAACCCCGGAACUGCCUUUGAUACUGGUAGUCUUGAGUUCGAGAGAGGUGAGUGGAAUUCCGAGUGUAGAGGUGAAAUUCGUAGAUAUUCGGAGGAACACCAGUGGCGAAGGCGGCUCACUGGCUCGAUACUGACGCUGAGGUGCGAAAGUGUGGGGAGCAAACAGGAUUAGAUACCCCCGUAGUCC
This 424-nucleotide ribosomal RNA is filed under the name uncultured prokaryote. Its description in RNAcentral is "bacterial SSU rRNA". It matches the Rfam family "Bacterial small subunit ribosomal RNA", at positions 355 to 796 of the family's 1533-position model. The record is from RNAcentral.